Molecule: long non-coding RNA, 520 nt
Organism: Haliotis rufescens (red abalone)
Lineage: Eukaryota; Metazoa; Mollusca; Gastropoda; Lepetellida; Haliotidae
Exons: 2
Source: RefSeq, a predicted model, not a curated record
UCGGACAUUUAUCGCUUCUACACCAUGUAUAUUUCUCACAAUAUGUCACACUGAAAUACAUUGUAUUGUCGCACAUUUUGAUCCAAAUAUAACAUGGAAUAAGACGAACAUUGUCCCACCUGAUUUAUUUGGGAGUGUAUCGUCAGAUAGCAGAUAAGAGUUCAGAUAACACUCACACAAGCAUGGCGUUUUCAAGCACACAUGGAGCUGUUCUUCUGUAUAUAUGUAUGACACUGUAUUUCUGCCUGGUUGCAAGUUCCACCGCAUACGUGAACACGGAUGCCUGUAAGGCACUCAAUGGGAACUGUGUAGACAGUCGACUGGUCAGAUGUGCCGGUCUGGACUUCAAGAUUUGUGGGUCUGAACCGUUUGCUGCUUGCUGCCCUGGAAUAAUGAUUGGCUAGCCGCUUAUCUCAGAAGCAUCGUCCGCAUCAUCCGCCGAGUUAUCAUUAACCUGAAGGCCAUGUUAAUAAUGAUGAUGAUGAUGAUGCCUGUACUUAUAAAUAAAAUAUAAACUCUG